This 329-nucleotide unclassified non-coding RNA is filed under the name soil metagenome. Its description in RNAcentral is "partial contains 5.8S ribosomal RNA, internal transcribed spacer 2, and large subunit ribosomal RNA". The stretch from base 1 to 120 matches the Rfam family "5.8S ribosomal RNA", at positions 35 to 154 of the family's 154-position model. The record is from RNAcentral.
GAUGAAGAACGUAGCGAAAUGCGAUAAGUAAUGUGAAUUGCAGAAUUCAGUGAAUCAUCGAAUCUUUGAACGCACAUUGCGCCCCUUGGUAUUCCGGGGGGCAUGCCUGUUCGAGCGUCAUUUCAACCCUCAAGCUCAGCUUGGUGUUGGGCCCCGCCGCCCCGGCGGGCCCUAAAGUCAGUGGCGGUGCCGUCCGGCUCCGAGCGUAGUAAUUCUUCUCGCUCUGGAGGUCCGGUCGUGUGCUCGCCAGCAACCCCCAAUUUUUUUCAGGUUGACCUCGGAUCAGGUAGGGAUACCCGCUGAACUUAAGCAUAUCAAUAAGCGGAGGA